Molecule: long non-coding RNA, 522 nt
Organism: Phacochoerus africanus (Common warthog)
Lineage: Eukaryota; Metazoa; Chordata; Mammalia; Artiodactyla; Suidae
Exons: 3
Source: RefSeq, a predicted model, not a curated record
UUUGAGUGCAGGCACUGGCAUGUGCAUUAUUACUCAGGGAUCUAAGUAGAGAAAGAAAACAACCCCCUGGGGUGCCUUCUAACCUAAAGCAUAUUUUCUAAGUCCAUGCACUCUCAGUCUAGACUGAAAACAAACAAAGCAGACUCCUCUUGAAGCUCUCAGAUCUCUCACCUUGCAAUUCUAGCUUUUGAAUUCCACGCCUAGUUUCCUUUCCCACAUGCCAAGCCCUUGUCCUGUGGAUUACAAUGAUCAUUUGUGUGUACUAGGUGACUAUUCCUUCCACAUCAGGGGCCUUGGAACGAUGAACUAAGGCUGCUCUCUCCCGUCCUUACUUCCUCUAUCCAGUAUUGUAACAACAUGCAAUCUGUUGGUUCUUAUAAAGGAUGCUGACUGAUGCUGUGAUGUGGUCUUCAGGAAGCCAAGGGAUCUCCAAAUGAGGUAAAGAAACUGAGAAUCAGCUCUGAAGAGUGAUUGUCCAAGGGUACUACGGAUAUGCAAAAUGAAUACAAUGUUGGAAGAAGA